RNAcentral lists this long non-coding RNA (301 nucleotides) under Penaeus chinensis. RNAcentral describes it as "uncharacterized LOC125041461, transcript variant X1". Lineage: Eukaryota; Metazoa; Arthropoda; Malacostraca; Decapoda; Penaeidae. The record is from RNAcentral.
CAUAGUGAGUGUACUCUGUAUGGAGAUGAAGGUUCAGUGUGUAUAAAAAGGCUGUUGUCCUUACGCCGAAGCACAGUAGGCAAACAGGAGGCUGAGGAGACUAACAGUUGUUGAGUGUUGUUGGAUCUUUUAGGUUCUAGUCAUGGAGCUUGGUCUCGCGAUGAGGAGCCUCCUCGUCGUGUGCGUUCUAUCGCUGCCCCGUCUCUCUACCUCGACCCCCUUGGCCUCCCCUGCCGCUGAUCCCAUGCCCGGCCCUGCCGCUGAUCCCCUGCCCGGCCCUGCCGCUGAUCCCAUGCCCGGC